AGGUGGUUCAGUGGAUAGAGCACUGGAUUUGGAAUCAAGAAGACCUGUGUUCAAAUCCAGCCU
RNAcentral lists this transfer RNA (63 nucleotides) under Monodelphis domestica (gray short-tailed opossum). It matches the Rfam family "tRNA", at positions 5 to 66 of the family's 71-position model. Rfam says of the family: Transfer RNA (tRNA) molecules are approximately 80 nucleotides in length. Lineage: Eukaryota; Metazoa; Chordata; Mammalia; Didelphimorphia; Didelphidae. The record is from Rfam by way of RNAcentral.